ACGAACGCUGGCGGCGUGCCUAAUACAUGCAAGUCGAACGAACGGAGGAAGAGCUUGCUCUUCCAAAGUUAGUGGCGGACGGGUGAGUAACACGUGGGCAACCUGCCUGUAAGUUGGGGAUAACUCCGGGAAACCGGGGCUAAUACCGAAUGAUAGAGUGUGGCGCAUGCCACGCUCUUGAAAGAUGGUUUCGGCUAUCGCUUACAGAUGGGCCCGCGGUGCAUUAGCUAGUUGGUAGGGUAAUGGCCUACCAAGGCAACGAUGCAUAGCCGACCUGAGAGGGUGAUCGGCCACACUGGGACUGAGACACGGCCCAGACUCCUACGGGAGGCAGCAGUAGGGAAUCUUCCGCAAUGGACGAAAGUCUGACGGAGCAACGCCGCGUGUAUGAAGAAGGUUUUCGGAUCGUAAAGUACUGUUGUUAGAGAAGAACAAGGAUAAGAGUAACUGCUUGUCCCUUGACGGUAUCUAACC
RNAcentral lists this ribosomal RNA (474 nucleotides) under Listeria innocua. RNAcentral's name for it is "bacterial SSU rRNA". It matches the Rfam family "Bacterial small subunit ribosomal RNA", at positions 29 to 484 of the family's 1533-position model. The record is from RNAcentral. Lineage: Bacteria; Bacillati; Bacillota; Bacilli; Caryophanales; Listeriaceae.